GGAUUAGAUACCCUGGUAGUCCACGCCGUAAACGAUGUCGACCAGCCGUUGGGUGCCUAGCGCACUUUGUGGCGAAGUUAACGCGAUAAGUCGACCGCCUGGGGAGUACGGCCGCAAGGUUAAAACUCAAAUGAAUUGACGGGGGCCCGCACAAGCGGUGGAGCAUGUGGUUUAAUUCGAUGCAACGCGAAGAACCUUACCUACUCUUGACAUCCUGCGAAUUUGGUAGAGAUACCUUAGUGCCUUCGGGAACGCAGAGACAGGUGCUGCAUGGCUGUCGUCAGCUCGUGCC
RNAcentral lists this ribosomal RNA (292 nucleotides) under uncultured bacterium. RNAcentral's name for it is "partial 16S ribosomal RNA". It matches the Rfam family "Bacterial small subunit ribosomal RNA", at positions 775 to 1066 of the family's 1533-position model. The record is from RNAcentral.